This 431-nucleotide ribosomal RNA is filed under the name uncultured bacterium. RNAcentral's name for it is "bacterial SSU rRNA". It matches the Rfam family "Bacterial small subunit ribosomal RNA", at positions 30 to 507 of the family's 1533-position model. The record is from RNAcentral.
AUUGAACGCUGGCGGCAGGCCUAACACAUGCAAGUCGAACGAUCCUUCGGGAUAGUGGCAGACGGGUGAGUAACGCGUGGGAAACCUUCCCUGUGGUACGGAAUAGCUCCGGGAAACUGGAAUUAAUACCGUAUACGCCCUUCGGGGAAAGAUUUAUCGCCAUAGGAUGGGCCCGCGUCGGAUUAGCUUGUUGGUGAGGUAAUGGCUCACCAAGGCUACGAUCCGUAGCUGGUCUUAGAGGAUGAUCAGCCACACUGGGACUGAGACACGGCCCAGACUCCUACGGGAGGCAGCAGUGGGGAAUAUUGGACAAUGGGCGCAAGCCUGAUCCAGCCAUGCCGCGUGAGUGACGAAGGCCUUAGGGUUGUAAAGCUCUUUUGGCGGGGACGAUAAUGACGGUACCCGCAGAAUAAGCCCCGGCUAACUUCGUG